Molecule: small RNA, 89 nt
Filed under: Flavobacterium sinopsychrotolerans
Lineage: Bacteria; Pseudomonadati; Bacteroidota; Flavobacteriia; Flavobacteriales; Flavobacteriaceae
Description: Flavo-1 RNA
Source: RNAcentral
UUGUAGCCCUGAUGUGAGUGGAAAGCCUUUUGAAGCGGAAUUGGCUAUUUUUCCUGAGAAAAAGUUUGUAGCACAGAGCAGGAUUAGCU